GAUCACGGUUUCGGAAGGGGCGAAGGCCCUCUUUCGUCGACUGUGUCUAUCGUGCGGCUGCGAUGCCCGCGCGCGCACGUGCUCUGUGCGUCUCGCGUCGUGCGCGAACACAUCGUGUCUGAAAGUUGCGCGCUCUGUGACAAAUCGUGCUUAGGAUUAUUGUUUAUGUCAUGCAGUGUUCCUAUAUUAAAACAUUUUAUUGUGAAAUGUGCAAAAAAUACUACAAGUCGAACAAUAAAAGGGAAAUGUUUUCGUUAAGACUUCAUUGUUGUGGUACGAACAGUUAAGUGCGUUAAGGGAUGGGUAAUACGAACUCGGGACAAGGGCACUCCCGCCACGGGAAGAGCAGGAAAUCAAGGAGCCUGCCAACCUCGCCUGAAGUCAGAAGGCAAGUGUCGGUGCUUCAGACGUC
This is a long non-coding RNA of Papilio polytes (common Mormon), 412 nucleotides long. RefSeq lists it as uncharacterized. Lineage: Eukaryota; Metazoa; Arthropoda; Insecta; Lepidoptera; Papilionidae. The record is from RefSeq and is a predicted model, not a curated record. The transcript is spliced from 3 exons.